GACGAACGCUGGCGGCGUGCUUAACACAUGCAAGUCGAACGGAAAGGCCCUGCUUUUGUGGGGUGCUCGAGUGGCGAACGGGUGAGUAACACGUGAGUAACCUGCCCUUGACUUUGGGAUAACUUCAGGAAACUGGGGCUAAUACCGGAUAGGAGCUCCUGCUGCAUGGUGGGGGUUGGGAAGUUUCGGCGGUUGGGGAUGGACUCGCGGCUUAGCAGCUUGUUGGUGGGGUAGUGGCUUACCAAGGCUUUGACGGGUAGCCGGCCUGAGAGGGUGACCGGCCACAUUGGGACUGAGAUACGGCCCAGACUCCUACGGGAGGCAGCAGUGGGGAAUAUUGCACAAUGGGCGGAAGCCUGAUGCAGCAACGCCGCGUGCGGGAUAACGGCCUUCGGGUUGUAAACCGCUUUCGCCCGUGACGAAGCGUGAGUGACGGUAAUGGGUAAAGAAGCACCGGCUAACUACGUG
Molecule: ribosomal RNA, 468 nt
Filed under: uncultured bacterium
Lineage: Bacteria
Description: partial 16S ribosomal RNA
Rfam family: Bacterial small subunit ribosomal RNA
Source: RNAcentral